Molecule: long non-coding RNA, 323 nt
Filed under: Musa acuminata (dwarf banana)
Lineage: Eukaryota; Viridiplantae; Streptophyta; Magnoliopsida; Zingiberales; Musaceae
Description: long non-coding RNA (MACU_LNC005631)
Source: RNAcentral
GUAGACGAACUCAUCCACCAUAUCCCACAGCCAUUGGUUGGGAAGCUGCAUGUUGACUACUCCGUGGAGCACGACCGAGAAGAGGCUGCAGUAGUUGUCCCACGACUCCACCCGCUGCCGCCCCGUGGGGGAGAGCCGGGCGUAGAGGUGACGGAACCACAUCUCACGGUAGAGGAGGCAGAAGACGUGGUCGUUGUCGACGUAGGGGGCGAUGGCCUCGACGGAGGGCCAGGGGCUCUCCCGGAACAUCCGGUCGCUGAGCCGCUGGAAGCUGCCGUCGUACAUCUGGUGGAUCUCGUACACGUUCUUCUCCCGGAUGUGGC